This 489-nucleotide long non-coding RNA is filed under the name Mytilus galloprovincialis (Mediterranean mussel). The record is from RNAcentral. Lineage: Eukaryota; Metazoa; Mollusca; Bivalvia; Mytilida; Mytilidae.
AAAUAUUGCAAAUGUCAAUAAUAUAUGAGUACUUAAAAAUGUUUAUAUUUUCAAAUGAAAAAUAAUAAGUUCCGAUUAGUAGGCAAUCAAAAAAAGUUGAAGAAAGACAUUCAACACAAUGGUAGAUGUAGAAAAAAAAGAUGGACAACAGUCCGCAUAAUACGCGCAUGAACUAAAGGUUGGUCAAACACAACCAAAUAAAAUGUUAAUAAAGGAUCCCAGAUGCAUUAGAAGGGUACGCAAUUUCUGCUCCGUUAGUGGUUAGAUGCAUGAGAAGGAUACGCAAUUUCUGCUCCGUUAAUAUAAAAAAGAAGAUGGGGUAUGAUCGCCAAUGAGACAACUAUUCACAAAAGACCAAAAUGACACAGACAUUAACAACUAUAGGUCACCGUACGGCCUUCAACAAUGAGCAAAGCCCAUACCGCAUAGUCAGCUAUAAAAGUCCCCGAUAAGACAAUGUAAAACAAUUCAACGAGAAAACUAACGGCC